AAUGAACGCUGGCGGUAGGCCUAACACAUGCAAGUCGAACGGCAGCACAGUAAGAGCUUGCUCUUACGGGUGGCGGGUGGCGGACGGGUGAGGAAUACAUCGGAAUCUACUUUUUCGUGGGGGAUAACGUAGGGAAACUUACGCUAAUACCGCAUACGACCUACGGGUGAAAGCAGGGGAUCUUCGGACCUUGCGCGAUUGAAUGAGCCGAUGUCGGAUUAGCUAGUUGGCGGGGUAAAGGCCCACCAAGGCGACGAUCCGUAGCUGGUCUGAGAGGAUGAUCAGCCACACUGGAACUGAGACACGGUCCAGACUCCUACGGGAGGCAGCAGUGGGGAAUAUUGGACAAUGGGCGCAAGCCUGGUCCAGCCAUACCGCGUGGGUGAAGAAGGCCUUCGGGUUGUAAAGCCCUUUUGUUGGGAAAGAAAAGCAGCAGGUUAAUACCCCGCUGUUCUGACGGUACCCAAAGAAUAAGCACCGGCUAACUUCGUG
RNAcentral lists this ribosomal RNA (492 nucleotides) under uncultured bacterium. RNAcentral's name for it is "partial 16S ribosomal RNA". It matches the Rfam family "Bacterial small subunit ribosomal RNA", at positions 29 to 507 of the family's 1533-position model. The record is from RNAcentral.